This 405-nucleotide ribosomal RNA is filed under the name uncultured bacterium. RNAcentral describes it as "partial 16S ribosomal RNA". It matches the Rfam family "Bacterial small subunit ribosomal RNA", at positions 30 to 526 of the family's 1533-position model. The record is from RNAcentral.
AUUGAACGCUGGCGGCAGGCUUAACACAUGCAAGUCGAACGAGUGGCGGACGGGUGAGUAAUGCUUGGGAAUCUAGCUUAUGGAGGGGGAUAACUACGGGAAACUGUAGCUAAUACCGCGUACCAUAGGAUGAGCCCAAGUGGGAUUAGGUAGUUGGUGAGGGAAAGGCUCACCAAGCCGACGAUCUCUAGCUGGUCUGAGAGGGUGACCGGCCACACUGGGACUGAGACACGGCCCAGACUCCUACGGGAGGCAGCAGUGGGGAAGAUUGCGCAAUGGAGGAAACCGGACAGAGCCAUGCCGCGUGAAUGAAGAAGGCCUUCGGGUUGUAAAGUUCUUUCGUUAGCGAAGCGUUAACUACAGAGAAAGCAACGGCUAACUCCGUGCCAGCAGCCGCGGUAAUUC